This 1179-nucleotide ribosomal RNA is filed under the name Escherichia coli 1-110-08_S4_C2. Its description in RNAcentral is "bacterial SSU rRNA". It matches the Rfam family "Bacterial small subunit ribosomal RNA", at positions 347 to 1520 of the family's 1533-position model. The record is from RNAcentral. Lineage: Bacteria; Pseudomonadati; Pseudomonadota; Gammaproteobacteria; Enterobacterales; Enterobacteriaceae.
GGCAGCAGUGGGGAAUAUUGCACAAUGGGCGCAAGCCUGAUGCAGCCAUGCCGCGUGUAUGAAGAAGGCCUUCGGGUUGUAAAGUACUUUCAGCGGGGAGGAAGGGAGUAAAGUUAAUACCUUUGCUCAUUGACGUUACCCGCAGAAGAAGCACCGGCUAACUCCGUGCCAGCAGCCGCGGUAAUACGGAGGGUGCAAGCGUUAAUCGGAAUUACUGGGCGUAAAGCGCACGCAGGCGGUUUGUUAAGUCAGAUGUGAAAUCCCCGGGCUCAACCUGGGAACUGCAUCUGAUACUGGCAAGCUUGAGUCUCGUAGAGGGGGGUAGAAUUCCAGGUGUAGCGGUGAAAUGCGUAGAGAUCUGGAGGAAUACCGGUGGCGAAGGCGGCCCCCUGGACGAAGACUGACGCUCAGGUGCGAAAGCGUGGGGAGCAAACAGGAUUAGAUACCCUGGUAGUCCACGCCGUAAACGAUGUCGACUUGGAGGUUGUGCCCUUGAGGCGUGGCUUCCGGAGCUAACGCGUUAAGUCGACCGCCUGGGGAGUACGGCCGCAAGGUUAAAACUCAAAUGAAUUGACGGGGGCCCGCACAAGCGGUGGAGCAUGUGGUUUAAUUCGAUGCAACGCGAAGAACCUUACCUGGUCUUGACAUCCACGGAAGUUUUCAGAGAUGAGAAUGUGCCUUCGGGAACCGUGAGACAGGUGCUGCAUGGCUGUCGUCAGCUCGUGUUGUGAAAUGUUGGGUUAAGUCCCGCAACGAGCGCAACCCUUAUCCUUUGUUGCCAGCGGUCCGGCCGGGAACUCAAAGGAGACUGCCAGUGAUAAACUGGAGGAAGGGGGGAUGACGUCAAGUCAUCAUGGCCCUUACGACCAGGGCUACACACGUGCUACAAUGGCGCAUACAAAGAGAAGCGACCUCGCGAGAGCAAGCGGACCUCAUAAAGUGCGUCGUAGUCCGGAUUGGAGUCUGCAACUCGACUCCAUGAAGUCGGAAUCGCUAGUAAUCGUGGAUCAGAAUGCCACGGUGAAUACGUUCCCGGGCCUUGUACACACCGCCCGUCACACCAUGGGAGUGGGUUGCAAAAGAAGUAGGUAGCUUAACCUUCGGGAGGGCGCUUACCACUUUGUGAUUCAUGACUGGGGUGAAGUCGUAACAAGGUAACCGUAGGGGAACCUGCGGUUG